Molecule: non-coding RNA, 178 nt
Organism: Oryza punctata
Lineage: Eukaryota; Viridiplantae; Streptophyta; Magnoliopsida; Poales; Poaceae
Source: Rfam
AAAAAGUGCAGUUUUGUAUUUUUCAUGUUCAACAUUUGACCGUUCGUCUUAUUUAAAUUUUUUUUAUAAUUAAUAUUUUUUUUAUUUUUAUGACUAAUUUUUUUUAAUUUUUUCAUAAACUUUUCAAAUAAAAUGGACGGUUAAACGUUGGACACAGAUAUCCACGACUGCACUUAAA